GACGAACGCUGGCGGCGUGCUUAACACAUGCAAGUCGAACGAAGAGCGACGGAAGCUUGCUUCUAUCAAUCUUAGUGGCGAACGGGUGAGUAACGCGUAAUCAACCUGCCCUUCAGAGGGGGACAACAGUUGGAAACGACUGCUAAUACCGCAUACGAUCUAAUCUCGGCAUCGAGGAUGGAUGAAAGGUGGCCUCUACAUGUAAGCUAUCACUGAAGGAGGGGAUUGCGUCUGAUUAGCUAGUUGGAGGGGUAACGGCCCACCAAGGCGAUGAUCAGUAGCCGGUCUGAGAGGAUGAACGGCCACAUUGGGACUGAGACACGGCCCAGACUCCUACGGGAGGCAGCAGUGGGGAAUCUUCCGCAAUGGACGAAAGUCUGACGGAGCAACGCCGCGUGAGUGAUGACGGCCGUCGGGUUGUAAAGCUCUGUUAAUCGGGACGAAAGGCCUUCUUGCGAAUAGUGAGAAGGAUUGACGGUACCGGAAUAGAAAGCCACGGCUAACUACGUG
RNAcentral lists this ribosomal RNA (510 nucleotides) under uncultured bacterium. RNAcentral describes it as "partial 16S ribosomal RNA". It matches the Rfam family "Bacterial small subunit ribosomal RNA", at positions 28 to 507 of the family's 1533-position model. The record is from RNAcentral.